RNAcentral lists this ribosomal RNA (448 nucleotides) under Calappa philargius. Its description in RNAcentral is "partial 12S small subunit ribosomal RNA". Lineage: Eukaryota; Metazoa; Arthropoda; Malacostraca; Decapoda; Calappidae. The record is from RNAcentral.
AAAGGUGAAAUUAGUUUGUUCCAAAUAAAAAAUAGACUCAAGUUGAAGCUAAAAAAUUUUAGACAAAAACUAGGAUUAGAUACCCUACUAUUCUAAAAUUUAAUUAUAAUAACCUGAUGAUUAAUAGAUAGUUUCUUAAAAUUUGAAGAAUUUGGCGGUAAUUUAGUCUUGUCAGAGGAACCUGUUCUUUAAUCGAUAAACCACGUAGAAUUUCACUUGAGUUUGUAUACCGUCAUUAUCAGAUAAUUUUUAGAGAAUAAAUUGUCGAUUUUUGAAUUAAAUUAAUAAAAAUUAGAUCAAGGUGCAGCUAAUAAGUAAGUUAGAAUGGGUUACAAUAAAUUUCAUUUAAUACGGAGUUAUACUUAUAAAGGAGGAUUUGAUUGUAUGUAGAUUUAAUAAGUCAUAAAGAUAUAAGCUCUAAAUUGUGUACAUAUCGCCCGUCGCUCUC